UUGGUUUAUCACCGAUAAGUUAUCAUUCGAUAACGGUCACCUUGAGUGCAAUAAAUCUUAUCGCUUCAUGCAUUUUUUCACGGUUUAUCGGAAAAAAAUAAACAAUAAUGCUGUAUCACUGCGGAAAACAAUCAUUUAAAGGUCAUGUUAAGGCUAUGUCACACGGCGAGCAAGAGCGGCAAUCUUCGUGCAGCGUGUGUGCCUAUACUUAACUCAUUACUCGGCGCGGAGAUUGUCAAUCCACGCUUUGUGUAAUGGAGUUUUUACACUCAAUGUCAAUCUCCACGCCCGUCUUCGCCAUGAAAACAAGCCAAAGCAUGCGUUAGGACGCGCCUUUCCGCUCCACGCGGCGCCGAACCCGUUACAUGGCGCGUGAAGCAACAAUCCACGCGCGGCAUAUGCACUGCCCAAGAUUGUAAUACUGUUCGUGACAACUUCCGACUUGUUCCGAUGGUAAUCGUUUGUUGUUGACCAAAAAUCAUGUUAUAUAGGAACGUGAUUUUUAUGGACUGCUACCUACAAUUCUCUCCUUUCAAUACGCGUGUGUUGUUUCAAAAUAUGGUGCUGUGCAUAAACUAGAGAUGCAGCGGAUAGUGAUUUUGCUGGGUAUCAGAUACACGGAUUACCUAUUCCGGGUACCCAGCCAGAUACCCAGCAAAAUCACUACGGUUAAUGGUGCAUAUCUUCGUUCAGGCGAGAUGUUCAUUAAAAUUCACCCUCACUAACGUCCCAAAGCAAUUAUUGAGUCCCGUUCAAAAAGUCGUUUAAGCACAUGAAAAUUAGCUCUUGGUGGACGGAUUUUCAAUGAGAAGGUUGAGAAUUACCCGCAGUGCCUCGGUACUCGGAGCCAUCAGCCGUAUCCUAAAAAAAGUGCCUGGUCCGAACAAGAUCAAGCGCAGUCCCACUUUUAUGGGCACGAUGGGUAAGAUGUGAACCUGGGUAUCGACUAAAUUAUCGACGUUUUCGCGAAUAAGAAACGUAAGCUUGAAUUUGUAAUUUAAAUAAACUCCUAAAUAAAGGGUAAAAUAUG
Long non-coding RNA from Agrilus planipennis (emerald ash borer), 1030 nucleotides. RefSeq lists it as uncharacterized. The record is from RefSeq and is a predicted model, not a curated record. Lineage: Eukaryota; Metazoa; Arthropoda; Insecta; Coleoptera; Buprestidae. The transcript is spliced from 2 exons.